AUCCCCAACCCCCAACUCCUGCCUUUAAAAACAGGAGCCAAUCCUUCCCAAUAUCCAAUCCUACAAACUUGGUGGUGACUUGGGCAUCACUGAUGGAUAAUUAGGACCUAGAGUAUAAAAUGGCAGAUUGUAGCCGUUCAAAAUCCGGACUUUCUGUUUUAAUUGAGAAGAAUUAGCCUCGAAACAUUUUUUUCCUUGUCACAAUAGGUUUUCCAGUGUCUUGGCAAUAAGGAGUAGCAUUUUAAAUGACCUACAUUUGUGUAGGAAGCCACAUGGUCCAGCCCGGUAGGAUUAGUGAGGGGGGAAGAUAUUCUGGGGUGCUGACUACCCAUCAGGACAAGCAGGCUCCGACUUGGCUUCUCCAGCUCGCCAUCUGGCCAAUGCUGAUUCAUUAGGUAGGUGCCCUUCCUUCUGUUGGAAAGGACAUUUGUUCCCCAUAAUUUGCCACUUUUCCAAGUGGUUAAGGGAAAUUGGAUUUGUUGCAGCGUGCCAGAAGCGAGCAAGACUGGGAACGAGGGCAAGGAUGCCGCAAAAUGGAAAGUCCUCUGGAACCACUGGUGGUGACAUGAGAUGGCACAGCCACUUCAAGAAAGCCUGACAGCUCAUGGGAAGGCACUCUGUCCAGGAGAAUGGGUUAAGGACCUUGGAGCCAGAUGCCCUGAAUACGGCCCAGGCUCCAAUAGGUACUUCCUUGGCUUAACCCAUAAUGUCAAACACAAUCACACAGCACUGCAGCUCGCCCCAGCUCUACUCUCGAUUUGGAGGGUACGGUCAGAGAGGAUGAAGUCAUGGUGCCAGGAGCCUGAGGCAGCUGCUUGCAUUGUAUCCGCAGUGAGGAAGCCGAGAGAGAUGAACCCGAUGAGCAGGUAGCUUCCUCCUUUUCUUACAGUCUGAGACUGAGCCCACGGACACCUGCGUGCAAGAUGGGACUUCCCAGUUCAGUUAACCCAAGUUCUAAGCCAGGCUCUUGGAGAGCUAAAUCCAACGAGCGAGUGUUGGCAGAGCCAUGCUCCCUCUGGAGUGCCUCGAGGACAGUCUGCUUCUAUACCCUUCUCCAGUUCCUUGGGCUGUGUUCCUUGGCCUGUGGCCUUACCUCCACCUUCCAACCCGGCACUGUAGCACCUCCCUUAUUAAAAAGAAAUUAGUAAAAAUGUUAAAAACUAUUAUUUUUAUUUGACGUGUAUGGGUGUUUUUGUCUGCAUGUAUGUCUGUGCACCACAGCAUAUCCGGUGCACACAGAGACCAGAAGAGGAUGUGGGAUCUCCCAGGACUGGAGUUACCGAUGACAGUAAGCCGCCAUGUGGGUGCUGGGAAUUGAACCCAGAUCCUCUGAAAAGAGCAGUCAGUGCUCUUAACCACUGAGCCACAACCCCAGCUGUGGCAUCUUCCUUCUUUAGUCCUAGCCUCUUCUUUUCUAGUUGUGUCCAAUUUCCUUCUGUCUCAUAAGGACAGUAGUGCUCACACUGGCCUGCAGGGAUAACUCACCCGUUCCUUACUUGUGAGCUUCUACAAAGAUCCUCACUCUUUAUCGUGUACCAUGAACGGUCACUGAGACUAGGACCUCAUAUCUUUAGAAUCAUCAAUAAACUGCAGCCCAUCCUAGUACAGAAUGGAAAGCGAUGUCGUGUUUAUGGACCAUGUAAAUGAACAUUCUGCCUGGUGGUAAGAGCUCCAAUUAAUUCAGGAACACUUCGCAAUUACUACUGAAAGUAAACUAUUUUUACUCUCGGGUUCAACAAUUCCCUCUAAUUAGUGCUAAGAAUUCAUCAUAGGAUAUUUUUAAUUAAUUUUUUCCAUGUAAUAUAUUCUGAAUUCAGUUCUCACUGUGUUCUUGACAAUGGGCGUUCAAGGAUUAUUUGUUGAUGUCGUUUAUAGAAGCUACAUUUGCAAACAGCCCACACAGCCUGGCAAUGGGGACCGGGUGAGUGUGCAAAAGGGCUUCCACACCACGGGAUGCUGUAUCAAGCAGAGUGAGACAGUCCUUUGAAGAAAGUCUUCAAGAAUGUGUUCCCAUUGUGAGGACGAAUGAAGAGAGAAGACAGGAGAGGAGAGGACGAGAGAACCUAGAAAUACCCCGGAGGACACAGAAGGUGGGUUGUUCUGUAAGUAUGGAGUCGAGGUGAUGCUUACAUUAUUAUCAUAGGCAUUUAUUGAAUUAUUAAUUUAAAUGUUUAAUAACAAAAUAGAAGGGACAUUUAUUUAAAAGACCUGGCAGGAACUGUGUUGGUAGAGUACUGGCUUGUCAGGACUACAUAAAACUGGAAUGGUGGUGCACACCUCUAAGCCCAGCACUCUGGAGGUGGAGUACCAAGACCAGAAGUUCGAGGCCAUCCUCAGCCACAUAGCAAAUUUGAAAUAGCCUGUGCUACAUGAGAUUCUGCCCCAAAGCCAAAAUUCCUAAAUAAGUUGGCAAAUUACUAGCCCAUCCAAAUUGCACAUAUUUUUUUUUAGUCUUGUCUUCCUAAUUUCCUCUCUUCUUCCAUCACCAAAGAAAGGAAUUACCUUUCUUCCUGUGGGUUGCCAGUCUCUCCCUAGGGCCCUGUGGGUGUUCUUUGAAGUCAGGUUGAUUUCAUCAGCACGGGUGUGGCUUUGAGGUGAGAGCCAAGGACAGGAGAGGAAGGACAUCCUUGGUACUCUCACUGGUCACAGACCAAUCAUGGCGUCAAUAGUCAGACCAGCUUUAGGAAAGUCCACAGGCAGGCUCAGAGCUUCCUGUGUCCAUAGAGACACAAACCUGGGACGCCACAACCUCGUCAUCACAAUACAUUGUCUCUAUCCUGGACAGAAUGCCCAGAGGGCAGAAGUGGAACAGCUUGUCUUAGAAGACCCCAGGGUCCACCUGCCAUGUGGAUCAACUUUUCCCGGAGUCUUACAAAAACACAUUUCAUCCAACUUCCUCAGGCUAAAUUUGAAGUAAAGAACUCACUUUGUCUGCAGCUGCUACUGUGGUUAGUGUGCCUUCCCUGUACACGAAUCAUUAAAGUCUCUCAGGCUUAAUUUCCUCAUCUGAAAAAUGGGCAUAAUACCAGGCUUCCUGAAUUCCAAGCCGCCCUCUGCAGUAUUUCUGAACUCAGCCUAUAGGUUUGAGCACGUAUUCAUCUUGUUGUUGUUUCUUUUAUCCAAGAAGGCUGUGGAAAGACCACUGAUAUUUUUUAAUACUGUUAGUAAUAGUCACAGCUUCGGUCAUGUGAUUAAAAUAAUUUGCCAAUUUAACUACCACAGUUCAAUGGUUUUUAAUAGACUCCCAGAACUGCACAUCCAUCACUACAGACAUUUUCCUAAUAGCCCAUUAGCUGUCACUUUUGUCUUCCUUCAAUUUGCCUGUCCUGUGUAUUUCAUACCAACGGAACAUCAUAUGCCUUGCCUGGGAUUUCCUCCUUUCACUUAGUGUCGUGUCUUCAAGGCCCAUCCGUGCCAGACCUGGCACCAGCGUUUCGUUUCUUCCUUGGCCUGGUUGAUAUCCAGCUGUAUGAAUGUGUAUCUUUGUAUCUAUUCGUUCAUUCACUGACAGUUGUUCUUACUUUUGUGGUUGUGUAGUUAUUUCCUGUGAUUUAAGCAUUCCCUCCUCAAGACUUAGGAAGUAAAUGAAAUUUAUAAGACUCAGGAAGCAAACAAAACGUGCAGUCUCUGAGAGCUCCAGAAAUUUAAAGGAUUCACAAAGCCUAUCUCCCUGAGGUUAUCUAGGCAGAAACAAAUGCUGGGAGAGGAGAUACUCUGACCAGUGGAGUUGCUCUGACCAGGACAGCCGCACACAAGUCAUGUGGAGAGCUCUCAUGAGUCAUUGUCCACUGUGGUGUGGGUUUCCUGGUAAUACAGCUGAUUUUGGGUUACCCAGGUCCCCACUGGUAACCCAUCACCUUUAUUCCUGAAAUCAACCACAAUGAACCCAAGCUACACUUGGCCGUAAUUUUUCCUUUGGUCUGUCACCCAUACCCCAAUCUGGAAUGAGAGGACAUUUGUUUAUAUCUCCUCAGGAAAAGCCACCCGAUCCUUUCGUUUCUUAUAUCAAUAAAACUGCUCUGAGCAGUGCCUGGGAGUUGGCAUUUUCUUUCUGUUGGCUGUGUAGCCAGAGGUAGAACUACCGGCUCAUGUGUUAAUUUGGAAGUUGCAUUUAUAGCACUUUUCAGAAUCUCAGGAGUAUUUUAUAGAGUAGCUGUCUAUAGCCAGAUCACCCUGAACACCUCCAGUCCCAUCUAAAGUAAGAACACCAUCUUACAAUGCGAUCGUUAGCAUAUGCUGACUCUAAUUUCUUCAUGUCCUUGUCAAUGGCUUUUCUAUUAGAGCCAUCCUACCAAGAGUGUCUUUCUGUGCCGUAGCUACCACUUCCCCGAUGUCAGUAAUGGUGACCACCUUUGCCUCUUGGUGAUGGUUAUAUCUUACUUGGGAAGAUGCCUUAUUCAAAUCUUUUGCCAUUUAAAGUUGGAAUAUCACUGUUUAUUGUUUAAUUGUAAGAGUUCAAUUUAUAGUCUAGGUUGAAGUGCCUUCGUGACCUGGACUAGCAGGUCAUUCUUCAACAACAGGUUCCUGAGAAAGAGAGGACCAGGGAGCAGGAAGAUAAGGAGACAAGUUUGAGAUCGGGAGGUCUUGCAUAAGCCGCAUCUUAUGCCAAGCUAGCUAAUUAAGAAGCAAGCAUCUUAUACAGUUUUUAGGGGAGAAGUGGGACUGUGUCAGCAGAAAGCUAUCAUACAAAGGGACAAAGUCAGCAGGAAGCUAAUCGAGUCAUGUUGCAUGAAAGGAACACAGAGUAUUCUAAGUGCAGCACAGACAGCACACAGCAGUCUUGGGAGUGAUAACCAUAGGCCCUUAAGGGUGGGCAGAGUUAGCGUCUCAGGAACCAAAAAUCAGAGCUGUGACUCCCCCAAGGCCCUGGCCCCGGGCCAUUACUGGCUCUGCCAAGUAUAUUCCUUGUAUUAGAGAAGAAAUUGUGUUCCUUUUCUAUACACCAGGUCCUCAGGGAAAAAGUCCCAGGGCCCUGGCCCCAGGCUAUUACUGGCUCUGCCAAGCUUGUUCCUGGUUUAGAGAAGGAACUAUAUUCUCCAUAGACCAGAGCCUCGGGGAAAGUUUUGCCCUCACCAUCUUACUGGAUAAAUGAUUUACAAAUAUUUUCUCCCGUUACAUGGACUGUCUCUUCAUUUUCUUAAUGGGAUCCUUUGACUCACAAAUGGUAAUUCUGAUGGCGUUCAACUCACCUUCAUUUUCUAUUCAUUGAUUUUUUCACUGUAAUGUUAUAAUGGAGAAAGAAUUUUCUAACGCAGCAUCAUGACGAUUUCCUUUUACUCUAAGACUCCUAGAGCUUUUAUUCUGACGUUUAGGUUGGUGACCACUUCAAGUUAGUAUUUCUAUAUAGUGUGAGGUAGGAGCCCAGCAUCAUUGUUCUCAGUGGCUAUGAAAUUGUUGCAGGUGAACUCUUGGAACUCUUCUUGACAACUAGUUGACUACAUGUGGGAUUAUUUUUCUAUGGACUCUCUAUUCUCUUCCCUUCUUUAGGCUUCUCUUCACGUAGAAAGUGCUGCACAAUUCAAUUGCAUCUAAAAUCAGAAAAUAGAAGUCUUUCAACUUUGGUUUUCUUUCUUGAAAUCAUUGGGCUUGCUUUUCCAUUGGAAUUUGGGAUCUGUUUCCCAACAUCUGCAAAAGAAACUGAGAGAUUCAGUAGAGUGUACAUUGAAUCUAUACAUCAACUGAGGAAGGGUCAUCAUCUUAACAACAUUAAGUCCUUCAGCACAAGGCACAGUUCCCAUUUAAUUAUAUUUUUUUCAGAAAUUACUCAUAGAUUGUAUCCUUAUUAAGUUUAUACUUGUCAAUUUGUUCCUAUUUUGUGCUGUUGUAAAGAAGAUGGUUUUCUUAGUUUUAUCUUCAAAGUCCAGUCCUGGUCUACAGAAAUGAAAUUGCUUUUCAUUCAUGGCUGGUCUACAAAUGAAACUCUGCUACAUUUGGACAUGGGUAGGGUUUGUUGUUAUUUUAACGUUCUUUUGUAGGUUGUUUAGGAUUUUCUCUCCCAAGAUCAUGCUGCAUGCAUUUUCUUCCUCAAUCAAAAUUAUUAAUCCUUCCUCCUCUGACUUACAUGCCCCAUGAAAGGAUACUGUAGAGGAUUUUGUCAAAUUGUUACAGUAAACUUAGUUACACCAUUUCUUAGCUCUCAUUGUUCCUCUUAGGGAGAAAAUCCAUGGACCACUCUAUUCACUGCUCACAGGAAGGACACUCCUCCCUUCUCUGCUGCAGAGAGACAUGCUUGGAGGGAGAGUAGCUCAUUUGGGUUACCAGCACAAGGGAAGCACCUGAUGUGCUUUGGCCUUUGCAAGGACUCCUGAUCAGAACUUGCCUUGAUGAAGGAAUUCCUUCGUAUGUCCCACAUAUGCCCUUCAGUGCAAAGAGCAGAGCACUUGAAUGUAUAACAGCACCCUUUGUGCAAAAUGGCUCACAGCUGUCUGAGCUAUUCCCGUAAGACAAAAACAUGAAGUCCCACCCACUUUAUGGAAGAAACUCAACCAAAGGAUUGUCUGACUUGAGAUCUUAGGACACUGGACACUCCAUCAACAAUAACAACACCAGAAGAAGAGUAAACAUGUUUGGCACAGAACUUGGGCAGUCUACCCACCAUGUGGGUUCCAGGAAUUGAACUCAGGUUAUCAAUGCGAACCAGAAUUCCUGAAACAACUGAUUGAUUAGAACUGUAGUGAUUUGGAGAAAUUGGAGUGUUGUAAAUCCAGGGCCUAAUUACUCUUUAUCUUUAAUUUCGAAGCUAGCCUUUGCCCCCUAAAUGGCCAUUCCAUGCUGACCUCUGUUUGACCUAACAUCCUGUGGUUAAUGGAUUUCCAUUCACGGAAAAGUUAAGAGCAUCAUCAGAUGGCAGAGGAGACCCAUCUUUCUGUACCUUCUGAUGUUUCCAACAAUCAAUUGUUUAAAUAUCUUGACUUAUUCUUUGUUCUGUUACUACAAAACUCCACAAUUAAAGCAUUAUGCUCCACACUGAAACAUUAUAUUGAGGGUAAUCUAAAUGGUUUCUGGGCCGUGGACACUCAUGAUGUUUCCUGUAGAUAUACUGUGUUUCUUAUUCCUUUGAGAGAAGAGUUGUUUCUUUUGAUGACACAGUGCUUAGGUGCAGUUACUCUUAUCUACAGAGCCAUCUCCCCUGCCUGCAUGUGGCCUCUCUGAGACAACGGUUGACUAUUGGACCCUACUGGGGAGAGGUAUAUAGCAUUGUCAUUGAAUGGUGUACUUUGCCAAUAUCCCCUUUCAUGUUGCAUCAGAGAGAUCCUGUGUGCAGCAGUCUCCAUUGUGACAUGAGAAGGCUCUGGGAUCAAGCCAGCUGUUCUUAGGAAGUUCUGGAAGAGUGUUGGCAUGGCAGCGGCCCUUCUCUUUCAACAGCACAUUUGAUUAACUUAAACCCUGCCUGCCACACUGGAUAGCUGAAACCUGGUAUCCCAGUGACCUAAGACGGGUAAGAUAAUUUCUUGUCUUACCUGAGUAUUGGAAUCAUCCUCUCUUGCUAUUCAGUGUCCUUCAAACACUUAGGAAUGUAGCCAUGGACAGCCCAAGUCCCCCAUGUGACAAUUUUGCUCAAAGGUAGGUCAAGUGAAUAUGGUGAGCCUGGGUUAUAGGGUUACCAUGUUAUUUGGUUUUCUAAAUGGCUCAAGAGAAAUUAAAAACUUCAUGUCAAAGAGCUAAGUCCUCAACUGAAUGGGUAGGAUUAUGACAAAAUCUUAUAAAAUUAUUAUUAGAACUGUAUAAAUUAUUAAACUUAUGAAAAAGCCUCACAAAACAUUGGAGACUAUUCCUAAUGUUCAGGUUAAAAUGUCUGAGAGUAGAAGGAAGAGAAAAACAAUAUUCAAGAUGAUUUCUAUUCUAGCACCACCCAUCCCCAAAGGGGAAAGAAAGAAGGCCAUUAGGUUGUCAUGAAACUGGACUCUUGGGUUGCAAGGCCCUGACCAGGCAUAGUAACAGAAGUCAGCCUUGAGCCUUUUAACCACUGGAGGAUGGUUCAGUGGGGUCUCAAGUAGGAGCUCUGCUGGAGUUGAUGGCGUGAAGGAAAAGGAUUACCCAUCUCUUUUUGGAUUUUCCAAAGUCAGUACUAUGUAUUUGCUUGAGAUCAGGGAAGUGGUCCAAGGAUAUUUCUCCCUAAGGGAAACAAUGAGGGAGCUCUAACAAAUGGUGUCGUUAAGUUUACUGCAAAGCAUUUGACAAAAUUCGGCAUUCUUUCAAUGAAUGAAUGAUUAAUCAUUUUGAUUAAGGAAGAAUAUGCAUGCAGCAUGAGUCCCAGGAUGUGGACUGGUCUCCUGGGAGUGCCAGCAGAAAAGCUUCCCACUGUAGUAGAUCGAGAAGAGUGAACAAUUCACCAGGAGAGGAGAGAACCACUGUUGGGGUCUGUUUCUUUACCUGUAACAUGAACAACUUUCUCGUUAUGUUAGGCUAAGGGUAUAGUCCUAACAAGUUUGGUUCAGCCUUGCUCUGCAGUGGAAGUUUUUUUUUUUUUGGGGGGGGGGCGAAUAAUAGAAGUUGUAGUGUUAAAAUAAUAGCAAAUAGCUUUUAAUCCAACGUUCGUUUUUAAAAAACUGUCUUUGAAAUGGCAGUCACAGCAGAACCCACUUGUGAGAGAAGUACUUUUAGUGAUGCUCGACAGGUUCCCUGAACUCAGCCCAAGGCAGAGGAUUAUUCUUUUGCCUGAAGAGAGUGGGAACAAAAAGAGACAAGGGGAUGAUUUGCAAAUCUAAAUCUCUGUGACCCAUCUUCCAGGGAGAGGCACGAGUGUAAGCACAGAAGGGAUCUGAAGGAAUUCUGGGUUCUUCCCUCUUUGACAUUGUGUCUGGGAUUAAACCCCAUACCCUAAUGCAUGUUGGGCUGGGGCUCAAGAGUGUGGUAGGAUGGGAUGGUGUGUGAUGGGAGGGGACGGACAUUUGACUUGAGUGAUGGGUCCUUCAAUCCCAAAGGCCUUGAUUUUAAUUAUCAGCAUAUGUAGGCACACACAUGGAGCACAGAAAUUCAUGAAAGCCAUAGUGACUGGGACCUGAGAUUUUGGGUGGAAAGUUUUACAUUCAAAACAUUCAAAACCAGACAUGGUGGCAGAUAUCUUUAAUCCCAGGAUUUGGGAGGCAGAGGCAAGGGGAUUUCUGUGAGUCUGAAGCCAGCCUGAUUUACAGAGUAAGUUCCAGGACAACCAGGGCUAUGUAGAGAGAUCCUGUCUCAAAAAAGAAGAAAAAAAAAAAAAAGAAAUAAAGUAGCAAAAAAAGAAUACAUAGCAGAUACAAUGAGUAUUUUUAAAAAUUAAAUAGCAAUGUUCAUAUAAGCCUCACACUCUAAUCUAAUAGACAUUCAACACUGUAGGCUUUGCUUUGAAUCUUAAGUUUGGGGUGUUUCCUUUCUUCUCUUUCCUUCUUUCUCUCUCUCUCUUUCUUUCUUUCUUUCUUUCAUCUUUCUGUCUUUCUUACUUUUUUCCUGUCUGUCUGUCUGUCUUUUCUUUCGUUCUUCUUUCUAAUAGGAUGUUACCAAUGGUGCUGAAGCUUCAGACCCCCACCCUGACAUCAGUGUCACCUCCCCGGAGAUUGUUCACUUUGACAACACUCAAUCUCACAAACAAAAGCUGGGUUUUGGGGUGUGGGGUUCAAGAGAACACUGAGACAGAUCUCUGGGGAAUAAGUUUACUAGAAAACUUAUUAACACCAUGGACAGACAGACACAGAGACAGCAUGGCAUGGUCUCUGGAGAGAGGAAUCAGACCACACAGGCAGAAGCAGGCUCUCGUUUUAAUGCCUUUCCUGAGGAUGGAGGAUUUUCACACAAAUGUGUAGCCAGGAUAAAGGGAGCAGGGAACAAGAUGUGUGGUACCAAUCCACAAACCCCUUCCAUUGAUGUUAGCUCAUUUCCCAAAUGAGAGAUCCUGGCCCAGGGUGUUGGCCAACUGGGGACUCAUAGACAAGGUCUCAGGAGGCUACCCAGGAGGGUAUCUAUGUCUGUGAGUGGAAGCUGCUGGAGAUAUUCUGUCCUAAGCAGAGGCCGGAUACUCAAGGCUUCUGGCCCUUGAGGGACUGGUCGCUCAGUUCAAAUAUCCCUCCUUUCCCAUCACACACCACUCCCUCUUAUCACUCCAUUCUUAAACGAGCGUCCUUAGAAUCAGGAAGCUGACAUUGCACUGUGUGGUUUUACACCACACACGAUUUGCUAGUGUUUUCAAAGCAUACCGCCAUUGUCGGAGAUUUGCCCCCUUGAGACUGAGACUUGGGUCUCGUGAGUCUGCCUCAAAGCUCUCCCUGGGGAAAUUUUUUUUUGUAUGCCUAAGAGUGGAUUUGCCUAAACUUCACUGAAGAGAGAAGAUAACAAAAGUGUUCACAGCCAUCACACCACCCAAACUUAGUGCCUUAACCCAUUGGUAAUAAAUGGUUGAGCUCCUGAAUUUUCAAUGUGGGCAGAGCACAACUCUGUCCCCAACAGCAUUAGCUGAAGGGGCUCAGAAGCUAGCCUCCCCACAAGUAUUCUGUAGUGACUAAGGACCCCUUUCCACCUAAGAUAAUUCUACACAGGCUACGUGUGUAACAAUAUAGGACAGGUAUAUAGAUCAAACAUUGACUGACAAUAAACCACAGAGAGGUUCAUUUUAAGACAAUUCUUUGAGAGAUACGUAUGUGCAGCCUUACCACAUAUUAAAUAGGAAAGCAAUUUCGCACACCACCGAGAUGAAUACGCUUGGCUAUUUUUAUAUAAAGAGUGAAAUCUUGCUAGUGCAGGAUGUAGAGUUCGUCAAAGCGUUUCAGAGUUGACUGAUGCUUUGAUUUUAGGAUUAUUGAUGCUGCGACCACUGCUUCACAUAAAUACAUAGUGCACACGACAUAAGGGUGUGUAGGGACAUUUCAGAGUAAAAAUGGCAUUUGGAAGUCCUGCGCUAUCCCAAACCAAGAUUCGCUUAAUGGUUUUUAAUGAACUCAUCAGCAAUUCGAAGUUCAAGUUUUAAAAUCGAGCACUGGACGGGCAGUGGUGGAACACAGUUUUAAUACCUGGAAGGCAGAGGCAGGCAGAUCUGAGUUUGAGGCCAGCCUGGUCUACAGAGAUAGUUCCAGGAUAGCCAGAGCUACACAGACAAACCCUAAAAAGAAAUAAAAAACAAAACCAAGCACUGUGACACAAGGGAACCUAAAGAUAUAGUAAUUUAAUACUUACCUCUUGAAGAAAAUGCCGGAACAUGUUAAGUGCCUUUGUUUUCUGUAAUUAGACCAGUGUGUUUCUAUAGAAGAAUGAAGCUAUUUCUGUACAGUAAGAACAACAACAAACGCUAAAGGACUGCAGCUCAUAUGACACAUCUGGAAUAUGAGGCCCGUGCUCCAGCUGCGUUCACUGGCACUGCACGGUGGGAGAGCAUGCAAGGUGUGGUGAGCACAACGCUCUCUCACACUGUGACUUCAGAACCAAGGCCGCAGUGAGCUCUCUCAGUGCCCCGCAGGUCCCGACCUCCCAGUAGUGCAUUGGGUGGGACCCAAGCCUUUAGCACACGGUCCUUUGGCAGACACCAACAGUAUAUAGCAAGGGAGAUGGCCACCUGUUUGGUAUGGCACCAUACCACAAUUGAUGUAGGUUCAUUGGAGGCAAACGCAACAAUAUCCUGGUGGCAGAAUUACCUACUACUGCAUCUGAUCAGGAAGACAGUACAUUCAAACCACUGAGUGGAGACUGGAGUUAGGCCAGCCAUAAACUAUCCUAAUGAAGACUAAUCGGGAACUACAAUUACUGUUGACUUCAGAAUGCAAACAUGAACUUUAGACAGCGAUCCCUAUCAGCCGGUGAGGCCGGGCACAGAUGCCGAUCACUGUUUUCUGCCGUUGCUUAGCAAUGGAAAAUGAACUGUUCCUGCCUCUUAUCACGGGGGGUGGAGAUAAAAGUUUGAAUUUUGCCCGGGAGGGACCCUCCAGAAUUAUCAUUAAAGAAAAUAUACGCAAAGAACAGAAGGGUCCCAUGCUGCCCUCUCCACAACAGAGUGUGGUGAUAUCCACUGGAAGGUCUUGUUGUCUCACAGAGGAACUUCCUCCUUCUGUAGGGAGGGUCUCCUUCUACAGUCCUUGUGCUGACCUCACCUGAACCUAUAGCGAGCUCAAAGUACUUCCACACCGAAGAUCCACCUUUGGGUUCCCCGUUUUGACCUGAAGCAUCCCAAGCUCUGCCUCGUGGUCAUGCUGCCUUCUCUCAGAUGGCUAGCAUGCUCCGAUGCCUCCCUCUAACAGCAGUAACCAUGACGUUUAGAGUUCUCCUUGAAGAUCUGCUUGGCAAUCUCCUCAUCUCCAAGAUGUCAUAUGAAGACGACACACUCAGCUUCCAGGGACUGGUGUUUGAUAUCCUGGUCAUCCUUCCAAACCAACUGAAGAGAAAGAGUGACUAUCACCGCCAGAAAGAGACACGUGCUCACUGCAUUCUCUGCAGCACUGCUGCUGAUAGCAAGAGAAUUUACAUUUUCAAUAUCUGUCAACGGGAGGGAUGGAGGCAUUGAACACGCUCCUGCAACGACCUGUCAUGCGGCAGCUAAAAUGAAUGAACUAGAUAUGCAACAGUCGAAGCCAGUGUCACCGGAUUCAGCGGUGAGCGAAAAGAAUCCAUUUCAGGGGGGGAAAAAAUUCUAGCGUGAUACUAUUUGUGCUGGAAGUGUUAAAAAAGGAAAGCUCUGAAUGGCUGGAGUGUGGUAGGAGGCAGACACCGAGGUGAAC
Molecule: small RNA, 12677 nt
Filed under: Rattus norvegicus (Norway rat)
Lineage: Eukaryota; Metazoa; Chordata; Mammalia; Rodentia; Muridae
Description: uncharacterized LOC102550434
Source: RNAcentral